AUGCUGCUCUCCUGGGUCAGGGCGAGAGAGCACACACACCACAAGGGUUUCCACAAGGAGGAAGGGCCACGCUGGCGCCAGGGGACCAGGGCCCCUCCACCUGGAGACCCGCACUGCAUCGGGCUGCCACGGCUCCCCAGCCUCCCCUCUCUCUGGGUGUCUGCAGCCACACGGACCCUGCCUGGGGGACGGGCGCGGGGGGUGGUGCAGGCCCGGCCUGCACAGAGGCGUGCCAGGGGCACAGAGAGAGGCCCCGGCAUUCUUCUCCCACGUCCCAGGGCCCGAAAGAUGGAUCCCCAAGGCCGGCUCCCCGCCCCCCAACACGGCAACAAGGUGCCCCACGGAGGCACAUUCAGGCCCACUGGGGCAACCUGCGCCACACCCCCGACACGACCGGGAAACCCAAACCCCUGGCACCUCCUCUGCCUCAGGACUUCCGCCAGGACUCACCGCCCCUGCGGAAACCCUCUCUCUUCCUUUGUUCUCUCCCUCUCUCUCUCUCCCUCUCGGUCCCACCCGCUGUCACCCUUUCCCUGGCGAGCGCGCGCGCACCGAAGCUUUCUCUCCUUUGCUGGACCCAUCCGACGCACGAUCAGCCACUUGCCCUCACAAGAGUCUGUCCGUGCCAGCCGGCUCUCCAGGAACCCCAGCACGGGAGCACUGAUGCCACCCUGCCCUGACGAAGGGUGACGGCCACCAACUCCCCUUGACCUCUCCAUGAUGCGGAAUCCCCUCAGCGCCCGUAAGACCCCCCCGGAGCCGUUCCCGUGCCCAGCAGCAGGCACGAACCCCCUGACGAGACGUGGUCGCUACCCGGCGGUUCCCGCCCGCACCAAGCCCCUCCCAGUCCCGACCACACACCAACCGGGACACCCAAGUCGGCCGGGAGACACGGCUCAAAUCCCCACAGGGCGUGGGACAUUCCCCCAAACAGCCGGGACUCCUGAACGGGCCAGGCCUUCCAGGGCCUCAAGCCCCGGGCCUUCCUGGCAAGCACGCGGCCGCCGGGCCUCAUCAAAGCCCUCCGUCACCGGCGGGGCCAGGACACCGCCACCGCUGCCCAAGCCCAGGCCUCCCGUCUCCGCUCGCCAUCAAGCCGCCCGCCGCAGGACCCGGACACCCGCCCCGAGCAGCCUCCCAGGCACUGCCAGCUGAGAGACGUCCCUGGCCGCCGACCUCCCCGCUCUGCCCAGGCCCCCGCGCGGCGACCUGGGCGAAGCGCUCCACGCGGCGCGGGUGGCUCGCUCUGCCGGGCAGACCACCCCCUCCAGGGCGUCCAAGGGCUCGGCAUCGCACCCUCCAGGGAGAGGGAGACCGUGCACCGGGAAGGACUCCGAC
Molecule: long non-coding RNA, 1338 nt
Filed under: Sus scrofa (pig)
Lineage: Eukaryota; Metazoa; Chordata; Mammalia; Artiodactyla; Suidae
Description: lncRNA (ENSSSCG00070012400.1)
Source: RNAcentral